RNAcentral lists this ribosomal RNA (399 nucleotides) under uncultured bacterium. Its description in RNAcentral is "bacterial SSU rRNA". It matches the Rfam family "Bacterial small subunit ribosomal RNA", at positions 28 to 430 of the family's 1533-position model. The record is from RNAcentral.
GACGAACGCUGGCGGCGUGCUUAACACAUGCAAGUCGAGCGGUAAGGCCCUUUCGGGGGUACACGAGCGGCGAACGGGUGAGUAACACGUGGGUGACCUGCCCUUAGCUCUGGGAUAAGCCUGGGAAACUGGGUCUAAUACCGGAUAUGACUCCAUGACGCAUGUUGUGGGGUGGAAAGCCUUGUGCGGCUAGGGAUGGGCCCGCGGCCUAUCAGCUUGUUGGUGGGGUGAUGGCCUACCAAGGCGACGACGGGUAGCCGGCCUGAGAGGGCGACCGGCCACACUGGGACUGAGACACGGCCCAGACUCCUACGGGAGGCAGCAGUGGGGAAUCUUGCGCAAUGGGCGGAAGCCUGACGCAGCGACGCCGCGUGCGGGAGGACGGCCUCGGUCGUAACG